RNAcentral lists this ribosomal RNA (497 nucleotides) under uncultured bacterium. RNAcentral's name for it is "partial 16S ribosomal RNA". It matches the Rfam family "Bacterial small subunit ribosomal RNA", at positions 28 to 507 of the family's 1533-position model. The record is from RNAcentral.
GACGAACGCUGGCGGCGUGCCUAAUACAUGCAAGUUGAGCGCUGAAGGUUGGUACUUGUACCAACUGGAUGAGCAGCGAACGGGUGAGUAACGCGUGGGGAAUCUGCCUUUGAGCGGGGGACAACAUUUGGAAACGAAUGCUAAUACCGCAUAAAAACUUUAAACACAAGUUUUAAGUUUGAAAGAUGCAAUUGCAUCACUCAAAGAUGAUCCCGCGUUGUAUUAGCUAGUUGGUGAGGUAAAGGCUCACCAAGGCGAUGAUACAUAGCCGACCUGAGAGGGUGAUCGGCCACAUUGGGACUGGGACACGGCCCAAAAUCCUACGGGAGGCAGCAGUAGGGAAUCUUCGGCAAUGGACGAAAGUCUGAACGAGCAACGCCGCGUGAGUGAAGAAGGGUUUCGGAUCGUAAAAAUCUGUUGGUAGAGAAGAACGUUGGUGAGAGUGGAAAGCUCAUCAAGUGACGGUAACUACCCAGAAAGGGACGGCUAACUACGUG